GCUGGGCGUGGUGGCGGGUGCCUGUAAUCCCAGCUACUAGGGAGGCUGAGGUAGGAGAAUUGCUUGAACCCAGGAGAUGCAGGUUGCAGUGAGCUGAGAUGACGCCACUGCACCUCCAGCCUGGGCAACAGAGCAAGACUCUGUCUCAA
Molecule: non-coding RNA, 149 nt
Filed under: Chlorocebus sabaeus (green monkey)
Lineage: Eukaryota; Metazoa; Chordata; Mammalia; Primates; Cercopithecidae
Source: Rfam by way of RNAcentral